This 506-nucleotide ribosomal RNA is filed under the name uncultured bacterium. RNAcentral describes it as "partial 16S ribosomal RNA". It matches the Rfam family "Bacterial small subunit ribosomal RNA", at positions 29 to 523 of the family's 1533-position model. The record is from RNAcentral.
AGUGAACGCUGGCGGUAGGCCUAACACAUGCAAGUCGAACGGCAGCACAGGAGAGCUUGCUCCCUGGGUGGCGAGUGGCUGACGGGUGAGGAAUACAUCGGAAUCUACUCUGUCGUGGGGGAUAACGUAGGGAAACUUACGCUAAUACCGCAUACGACCUACGGGUGAAAGAAGGGGAUCUUCGGACCUUGCGCGAUUGAAUGAGCCGGUGUCGGAUUAGCUAGUUGGCGGGGUAAAGGCCCACCAAGGCGACGAUCCGUAGCUGGUCUGAGAGGAUGAUCAGCCACACUGGAACUUAGACACGGUCCAGACUCCUACGGGAGGCAGCAGUGGGGAAUAUUGGACAAUGGGCGCAAGCCUGAUCCAGCCAUACCGCGUGGGUGAAGAAGGCCUUCGGGUUGUAAAUCCCUUUUGUAGGGAAAGAAAUCCAGAUGGUUAAUACCCGGUUGGGAUGACGGUACCCAAAGAAUAAGCACCGGCUAACUUCGUGCCAGCCGCCGCAGUAA